AUGAGGAGUGUGUGGCAAUUGCCCGCCGAGGAGGCCCUCAGGAACUCUGAACCUGACUGGUUGCUCAUGUUGCUCCAAGAAUUGAAUGGAACACAACAAAUGCUAGUUCUCAUGAUCUUAUGGCGUGUAUGGCAUGUGCACAAUGAACUAACUCAUGGCAAGCCAAUGAUUCCCAUCAUAGCGUCGAGAAGGUUCCUAUGUGAGUAUGUUGAUUCUCUGUUGAUGAUCAAACACUACCCACGGAUGAAUAUAGCUAAAGGGAAACGACCGGCGAACUUGAUUGCAUGUCAUAUGAGCAGGACGUCGGCACAAGCUUGUCGGGAUACUGAUGGCUCCUUUGUUGCAACAAUUGAUGAAGCUGAUGGCUCUUCAAUUGCCAUGGUCCACUCGAGGCUGAGCUUGCAGCAUGCGAGGAAGGACUGCGACUGUUCUUGCACUGGUCCCAAGCACCAUUGGUGGUAG
RNAcentral lists this ribosomal RNA (462 nucleotides) under Triticum aestivum (bread wheat). Its description in RNAcentral is "partial small subunit ribosomal RNA". Lineage: Eukaryota; Viridiplantae; Streptophyta; Magnoliopsida; Poales; Poaceae. The record is from RNAcentral.